CUACGGGACGCUGCAGUGGGGAAUAUUGGACAAUGGACCAAAAGUCUGAUCCAGCAAUUCUGUGUGCACGAUGACGGUCUUCGGAUUGUAAAGUGCUUUCAGUUGGGAAGAAAAAAAUGACGGUACCAACAGAAGAAGCGACGGCUAAAUACGUGCCAGCAGCCGCGGUAAUACGUAUGUCGCAAGCGUUAUCCGGAUUUAUUGGGCGUAAAGCGCGUCUAGGUGGUUUGAUAAGUCUGAUGUGAAAAUGCGGGGCUCAACUCCGUAUUGCGUUGGAAACUGUCAAACUAGAGUAUCGGAGAGGUGGGAGGAACUACAAGUGUAGAGGUGAAAUUCGUAGAUAUUUGUAGGAAUGCCGAUAGAGAAGUCAGCUCACUGGACGAAUACUGACACUGAAGCGCGAAAGCAUGGGGAGCAAACAGGAUUAGAUACCCCAGUAGUC
RNAcentral lists this ribosomal RNA (442 nucleotides) under uncultured bacterium. RNAcentral describes it as "partial 16S ribosomal RNA". It matches the Rfam family "Bacterial small subunit ribosomal RNA", at positions 339 to 795 of the family's 1533-position model. The record is from RNAcentral.